Molecule: small nucleolar RNA, 97 nt
Organism: Papaver somniferum (opium poppy)
Lineage: Eukaryota; Viridiplantae; Streptophyta; Magnoliopsida; Ranunculales; Papaveraceae
Product: small nucleolar RNA Z221/R21b
Exons: 1
Source: RefSeq, a predicted model, not a curated record
AGGCUAUGAUGAUAUAUAAGUCAUGCACCACUCAGAGUGAUUUGAUUUUCAUCAAAUCAGUUGCUGAUAAACGACUCACCAUAACUAUUCUGAGCCU